AUUACUUUGGCAGAUUAGUGCAUUAAAUUUAGAAUUUAAUAAAAAUAUAAAAAGUUGUUAUUAUAUAAGUAAUA
Molecule: transfer RNA, 74 nt
Filed under: Crematogaster teranishii
Lineage: Eukaryota; Metazoa; Arthropoda; Insecta; Hymenoptera; Formicidae
Description: tRNA-Leu
Source: RNAcentral